GUCCUUUUGAUCAUAAUUUAAGGUCUGGCCUGCCCACUGAAUAUUUGAAUGGCCGCGGUAUUUUGACCGUGCAAAGGUAGCAUAAUCAUUAGUUUUUUAAUUGAAAGCUGGAAUGAAAGGUUGGAUGAGAAAAUAACUGUCUCUAUUUAAUUUAAUUAGAAUUUUAUUUUUAAGUUAAAAAGCUUAAAUUUAAUUAAAAGACGAGAAGACCCUAUAGAGUUUUAUAUUAAUAUAUUAAUAUAAUUUUUAGAAUUAAAUAUUUAUUAUUAUUUUAAUAUUUGAUUGGGGUGAUUUAAAAAUUAAAAGAACUUUUUAUAUAUUUAAACAUUAAUAUAUGAUUAAUUGAUCCAUAGUUUAUGAUUAAAAGACAAAAUUACCUUAGGGAUAACAGCGUAAUUUUUUUAGAGAGUUCAAAUCGAAAAAAAAGAUUGCGACCUCGAUGUUGGAUUAAAAUUAAUUUUUGGUGUAGAAGCUAAGAAUAUUAGGUCUGUUCGACCUUUAAAAUUUUACA
RNAcentral lists this ribosomal RNA (511 nucleotides) under Protosphindus chilensis. RNAcentral describes it as "partial 16S ribosomal RNA". It matches the Rfam family "Bacterial large subunit ribosomal RNA", at positions 1819 to 2600 of the family's 2925-position model. Lineage: Eukaryota; Metazoa; Arthropoda; Insecta; Coleoptera; Sphindidae. The record is from RNAcentral.